Molecule: ribosomal RNA, 443 nt
Filed under: uncultured bacterium
Lineage: Bacteria
Description: partial 16S ribosomal RNA
Rfam family: Bacterial small subunit ribosomal RNA
Source: RNAcentral
CCUACGGGAGGCAGCAGUGGGGAAUAUUGGGCAAUGGAGGCAACUCUGACCCAGCAACGCCGCGUGAAGGAAGAAGGCCUUAUGGUUGUAAACUUAUGUUGUAAAGGAAGAAAAGAAUGACGGUACUUUACAAGAAAGCCCCGGCUAACGAUGUGCCAGCAGCCGCGGUAAGACAUAGGGGGCAAGCGUUGUUCGGAAUUAAUGGGUGUAAAGGGAGCGUAGGCGGGAUAUUAAGUUAAGAGUGAAAGCUUUGGGCUCAACCCAAGAAAUGCUCUUAAUACUGGUAUUCUAGAGUGUGGGAGAGGUAAGUGGAAUUCGUGGUGUAGCGGUAGAAUGCGUAGAGAGUAGGAGGAACAUCAGAUGCGAAGGCAGCUUACUGGACCAUAACUGACGCUGAGGCUCGAAAGCGUGGGGAGCAAACAGGAUUAGAUACCCUUGUAGUC